Molecule: ribosomal RNA, 488 nt
Filed under: uncultured bacterium
Lineage: Bacteria
Description: partial 16S ribosomal RNA
Rfam family: Bacterial small subunit ribosomal RNA
Source: RNAcentral
GACGAACGCUGGCGGCGUGCCUAACACAUGCAAGUCGAGCGCGCAGCCAUCGGUAGCAAUACCGGUGGUGGGCGAGCGGCGAACGGGUGCGUAACACGUGGGCAACCUGCCCAGACUCUGGGAUAACCCCGGAAAACCGGGGCUAAUACCGGAUACUCUCGGCCGGCCGCAUGAUCGGCCGAGGAAAGCUCCGACGGUCUGGGAUGGGCCCGCGGCCUAUCGGCUUGUUGGUGGGGUAACGGCCUACCAAGGCGACGACGGGUAGCUGGUCUGAGAGGACGGCCAGCCACACUGGGACUGAGGUACGGCCCAGACUCCUACGGGAGGCAGCAGUGGGAAUCUUGCGCAAUGGGCGAAAGCCUGACGCAGCGACGCCGCGUGAGGGAUGAAGGCCUUCGGGUUGUAAACCUCUUUCGGCAGGGACGAAGCGAAAGUGACGGUACCUGCAGAAGAAGCCCCGGCUAACUACGUGCCAGCCGCCGCCGUAA